Molecule: long non-coding RNA, 298 nt
Filed under: Nicotiana benthamiana
Lineage: Eukaryota; Viridiplantae; Streptophyta; Magnoliopsida; Solanales; Solanaceae
Description: long non-coding RNA (NBEN_LNC039406)
Source: RNAcentral
UAAUGACUGCCACCAGCCAAAGCAUCAUCGGCAUCUCCAGCCUCCUCUUUGGAGUCACCUUUUAAAGGUUCUGACAUCUGAGUUUUACCAUCAUCGGCCAAAGCAUCAUCGACAUCUCCAGCCUCCUCUUCGGAGCCACCUUUUAAAGGUUCUGACAUCUGAGUUUUACCAUCAGCCGCCAAAGCAUCAUCGACAACUCCAGCCUCCUCUCUGGAGUCGCCUUUUAAAGGUUCUGACAUCUGAGUUUUACCGUCAGCACAUCUUUCAGCUUCCUCAACGCUAUUGGUUUCCAUGGGAU